CUUAUCGAGAGAAACCGAGGGAAAUGGCCCGAUGACGUUUCAGCAACCCCUGAUGGAUUCAGGAAGGUGCUACUUCCACAAGACUUUGUCUUGAGAGAUAAGA
Molecule: non-coding RNA, 103 nt
Filed under: uncultured Sporosarcina sp.
Lineage: Bacteria; Bacillati; Bacillota; Bacilli; Caryophanales; Caryophanaceae
Description: SAM riboswitch (S box leader)
Rfam family: SAM riboswitch aptamer (S box leader)
About the family: The SAM riboswitch is found upstream of a number of genes which code for proteins involved in methionine or cysteine biosynthesis in Gram-positive bacteria. The SAM riboswitch acts at the level of transcription termination control. The predicted structure consists of a complex stem-loop region followed by a single stem loop terminator region.
Source: RNAcentral